GUGAGUGUCUCAUGCUGCAGCUUCUUGGAUGCACCAGGGAAAGCCCCUGAGGGCCUUUUGCUGGGGUUUUGUGCAUGUGUCGUUGGAAGCCUUAUGCUGAAAAUGUUUAUUUCUAUUUCUACUUGAUUGUACAGUGCAAAAUUAGUAUCUGGAACCCCAUAAAUAUAUGAGGUGUUUUGUAAAGCAGUCACCCUCUUACAAAGCCCUUGGUUUGGCUCUAGCUUGACCUGUUUUGGAAUCCAGCAUACACCAAUUGAUAUAUUCUGCCAAAUAUAUAAUGAACGUGCAGAGCUGACUGUGCACCAGUGUUUUCUUCUGGCUUUUGAAAUGGCGAUCGUUCCCCUUCUGUGCUCCCAACGAAAUCAAAGCAUCUUGUAAUCCUUUGCUUGUUUUUAAGUGACAGUAGUCCUCUGUUCCCUGACAAAUAUUGCCAGCAGAAGCCUGGUAGCUCCAGACAAGGUCCUUUGAAAGAGGUGGGAGGGGAGAGAGGCUCUGCAGGCAACUUUCCAGCAGCAGCUGUGCACUAACGGCAUGGGGGUGUGGGAGGCUACUCCCGGGUUAGUAAGACAGUUCAGCAAUGCAGUGAAUGUGUGCUUGCAGUACAUGACUCCUAUUUACUUUUUUUUUAAUUCCCUGACCUUUGUCUGACCAAAUCCAUCGCCAAAAUGCAGCUGGAUGGGCAGGGGGAACAGCAGCCAGGCUGUACCAAGGAUCUCGCUGUGCUCCGUGAAACAUGUGGUGCUCCCCCAGGGAAAAUGUUUAAGUGUGCUCCAGGAUGCCUUGGUUCCCGAUGAGAGCCUCAGAACGCAGCUGAGCAUUGCUUGGGUGUGAACCUCCCAGCUUGUUUCCCUGCACAGGUUCCUCUCAGGCACAAGAUUCUGCAAGUUGUUUUGGUUGUCCUGCCAUGAAGGUAUUUUCUGCAUGCUGGAGUUUUUAAGAGUGUUGAUUUAUGUCAUUUUGGCAACAACGUGCUGAAAUUUUUCUACCAUUUUGCAACUGUUUAACCAUUUAAGCAUGUGACCAGCCUUGAUAAAUCAGUGAAGACUCUUAAAUGCUGACUGUGGGAAUCUAUGAAGAAUGAUGCCUUCAUUAUCACACCUGAAUAUGCACUGAACCUUGCUUCCCUGUCCAGAGGCACCCUCUACUCCACAGAAAACACCCUACCUGCCAUGCCUGACUUUCUUGAAUUUGAAUUUGUAUUUGCAAGGACUGUGCAUUAAGUAAAACAUCUGUGAUCUAAAGAAAAUAAUGUAGCCCUGCUAAAAACACCAAUGUGUUGUAUUCUUUAAGAGUGACUGCAUGCAUCUGCAAGAGCAGAUUUUAGAUUGCAAACAACACCUCCCCAUUUUCCAGCUGUCUUAAGCUUGCAGUGACAAAAGACCUUGCAGUGCAUAAUGAUGAGUCUAAACGAAAACAUAUAAAUAUGCCAGAUAAAUAAAAGUUUUUGCUUGCAAGAGAUCUCA
This 1463-nucleotide long non-coding RNA is filed under the name Lonchura striata (white-rumped munia). RNAcentral describes it as "domestica (Bengalese finch) lncRNA (ENSLSDG00000012647.1)". The record is from RNAcentral. Lineage: Eukaryota; Metazoa; Chordata; Aves; Passeriformes; Estrildidae.